GCAUCGGUGGUUUAGUGGUAAAAUUAGCCGUUGCCAUCGGCUAGCCCCGGGUUCGAUGUAGGUUUAACUAAGUCAAUUUGAGCUCGAUAGGAGUAUUAUUAACAGUUAAACAGUCCCGGCCGAUGCA
This 127-nucleotide transfer RNA is filed under the name Baudoinia panamericana UAMH 10762. RNAcentral's name for it is "tRNA-Gly (GCC) (tRNA-Gly-GCC-1-1)". The record is from RNAcentral. Lineage: Eukaryota; Fungi; Ascomycota; Dothideomycetes; Mycosphaerellales; Teratosphaeriaceae.